CACGUAGGGUGCGAGCGUUGUCCGGAAUUAUUGGGCGUAAAGAGCUCGUAGGCGGUGUGUCGCGUCGGCCGUGAAAACCUGCAGCUUAACUGUGGGCUUGCGGUCGAUACGGGCAUCACUGGAGUUCGGCAGGGGAGACUGGAAUUCCUGGUGUAGCGGUGAAAUGCGUAGAGAUCGUAAGGAAGACCAGUGGCGAAGGCGAGUUUCUGGACAGUUACUGACGCUGAGGCACGAAGGCCAGGGGAGCAAACGGG
Molecule: ribosomal RNA, 254 nt
Filed under: uncultured bacterium
Lineage: Bacteria
Description: partial 16S ribosomal RNA
Rfam family: Bacterial small subunit ribosomal RNA
Source: RNAcentral